AAGUUUGUUGACCCGAGAGGCUUAGUAUCAACCAUAGGUACAGUCAAAGUCAAUAUGGAGGCUGAAAAUCUAGUGCUAACAGAAAAAUAGAAGUCAAUAUUUAGGAUGUGAGUCAGGAACUUAAAAUAGGAAAGUGAAACAGAUGAGGGCUGUAGCUGCAACAGUGUUGGAGGUGAAAUGUUUAGAUCCGAGGACCACUGCUGAUUACUAUCUUCCCCUCUAACAAGGUUGCUCAGUCUGCUUCAGAAAUUCAUUUCCAGUGGCCAGGCCACCUCCCUGACCUAUAUUCCUCAGACUGCCAUUACGUCAGAGCCUGCCUAUUUGGGGCUAUAAGUGAAAUCCUCUGUCUUCUAGGUGAAAUCCACAGUUUGGCUGCAUUGGACCAGACCUCCAGGAGAUGUGAAUCUGUCCAACCCCAUUCAAGUGGAGCCCAUUUACUCCAGCUAAGGUUCUAGCCCACAUCUUCUGGGAUUUGAAGAAUUUGGCCCCCAACCACGUUCUCCCAUUGCAGUAGCUUGGUAGCUCAGAAGGUUUCUUGGGAGUCACCCUGACAUUAUUUUGCUUCUGUAAUAGAACUCCAUGGCAUCCCCCUCUGACACAUGUGAUGACAUUCCUUUGUUUUGGCUUUGAUAUCAUAACAUUGUUUUCACAGACUUGCCCUGAUCUUAUUGUGACAAGGUCAAAUCCCAUUCAAUUCAAGAGGAAAGUAUUAAUACUGAGGUGAAAAACCUCUGGUAUUAAUUAAGCUCUGAAUAGUAACUUCAGGCGUAUGCUGCUGUCCUUAUUUGUUGCAUGUAAAAUACUUCAGCCAACACAAUUGGUCCGUGCUAAUGAUCCACACAGUGCUAAUUUUAGUUUUAAAAAAUAUGUGUACUUGAAUGAUUGCUGGGCUGGGUAAAAGAAAAAAAAAACAGAUGCAAAAUCUGAACCGUGCUCAAAAGUAAGACCAGAAGUAGAAGAGAAAGAUGUCCAACAAGCAACCUUGCAAUACAACACAGUUGAAUGGGAAAAUACGUUGCUGAAAUUAUUAUGGGGGGUGAAAAGUAAGUUUUUAACUAAGCUAUAUAUUUAUGUAAAUUUGAACUUUUUAUUCUGAAACCCAAAUCUCAAGUAUUUCAGCUGAAACACAGUUUGAUUGUAAUACGGUUCCUGUUUCUUGGAACCCCAUCAGACUAUCAUGAAUCUUGCCAGCUUUUAAUGUAACAUAAUUGCUGACUUGCACAAUUUGCUAGUGUUAUUGUAAUAUCAAACAAUUGUUAUUUUGUAUUGUACUCAGGCAACAGGGACAGUGAGCGGGUCCUGAAGUAUAUACAUGGGGAUGUACAGUGCCUGGUAGCUAUUUCCCUUAGUAUUUAGUGUAACAGAGUAUACAAACUGCAGUACAGGGUGAGGAAAGACAUGCCCAUGCUCCUAAAUGAGGCCUGCUGUGCAGUCAGAAUGUAACAGGAUCCCAGG
This 1455-nucleotide long non-coding RNA is filed under the name Phasianus colchicus (ring-necked pheasant). RNAcentral describes it as "lncRNA (ENSPCLG00000001913.1)". Lineage: Eukaryota; Metazoa; Chordata; Aves; Galliformes; Phasianidae. The record is from RNAcentral.